Bombus pascuorum is the source of this 429-nucleotide long non-coding RNA. RefSeq lists it as uncharacterized. The record is from RefSeq and is a predicted model, not a curated record. The transcript has 2 exons. NCBI's taxonomy places the organism in Eukaryota, Metazoa, Arthropoda, Insecta, Hymenoptera, Apidae.
CUUAGCACUCGACCUAGUAACUCACGCGAGAAUUUCAUCUCACGGCGUAUCGUUUCAGUAAUUAGCGUAAUUAUCGUUUCGAACGACGAACGUGGAAAAGUAAGGCGAAGAAUAAGACAAAACGCCGAUGUACGACCGUCAAACUGAUGUACGGACUAUCGAUAACAAUUGGAACAGUGUUACAUAAGAUGAAUUUAUGAAUUGAAUUUAUAAAGAAGAUAUGAUAAUCGCGAAACGGUUCUCACACAUAUUUUGACAAUUUUUUACUGCGUUACUCGUCCUUCGUGUUAUUCUCUUCCUUGCGCAAUUGGAAUAUUAAAUUAACGUUGGACAGCAAUAAUAAAAUAAUAAUAAAAAUAAAAACGAUACACAGAUUUAAACAAUACGUUUAAUUUAAAUUUCAAAUAGAAUGGAAAUGAGAUUAUUUUC